UACGGAGGAUGCAAGCGUUAUCCGGAAUUAUUGGGCGUAAAGCGUCCGCAGGUGGUUUAUCAAGUCUGCUGUUAAAUCGCAGGGCUUAACCCUGUAAAGGCAGUGGAAACUGAGAGACUAGAGUACGGUAGGGGUAGCGGGAAUUCCCAGUGUAGCGGUGAAAUGCGUAGAUAUUGGGAAGAACACCAGCGGCGAAGGCGCGCUACUAGGCCGAAACUGACACUCAUGGACGAAAGCUAGGGGAGCGAAAGGG
This 253-nucleotide ribosomal RNA is filed under the name uncultured bacterium. RNAcentral's name for it is "partial 16S ribosomal RNA". It matches the Rfam family "Bacterial small subunit ribosomal RNA", at positions 524 to 776 of the family's 1533-position model. The record is from RNAcentral.